RNAcentral lists this transfer RNA (72 nucleotides) under Candidatus Nealsonbacteria bacterium CG10_big_fil_rev_8_21_14_0_10_36_24. RNAcentral describes it as "tRNA-Ile". It matches the Rfam family "tRNA". From Rfam's summary of the family: Transfer RNA (tRNA) molecules are approximately 80 nucleotides in length. Their secondary structure includes four short double-helical elements and three loops (D, anti-codon, and T loops). The record is from RNAcentral. Lineage: Bacteria; Candidatus Nealsoniibacteriota.
GGGCGCGUAGUUCAGUGGUAGAACGCAUUCCUGAUAAGAAUGAGGUUGAAGGUUCGAUUCCUUCCGCGCCCA